RNAcentral lists this ribosomal RNA (790 nucleotides) under uncultured Pelagibacteraceae bacterium. RNAcentral describes it as "bacterial SSU rRNA". It matches the Rfam family "Bacterial small subunit ribosomal RNA", at positions 46 to 884 of the family's 1533-position model. The record is from RNAcentral. Lineage: Bacteria; Pseudomonadati; Pseudomonadota; Alphaproteobacteria; Candidatus Pelagibacterales; Candidatus Pelagibacteraceae.
GCCUUAUACAUGCAAGUCGAACGAAGUAGCAAUACUUAGUGGCAGACGGGUGAGUAACAUGUAGGUAUCUACCCUUUGGUGAGGAAUAACACGAGGAAACUUGUGCUAAUACCUCAUAAGUCUUUACGGAGAAAGCUUUAUGCGCCGAAGGAUGAGCCUGCACUUGAUUAGUUUGUUGGUGGGGUAAUGGCCUACCAAGACUUUGAUCUAUAGCUGAUCUGAGAGGAUGAUCAGCCACAUUGGGACUGAGACACGGCCCAAACUCCUACGGGAGGCAGCAGUAGGGAAUAUUGCACAAUGGAGGAAACUCUGAUGCAGCGAUGCCGCGUGAGUGAAGAAGGCCUUUGGGUUGUAAAGCUCUUUCGUCGGGGAAGAAAAUGACUGUACCCGAAUAAGAAGGUCCGGCUAACUUCGUGCCAGCAGCCGCGGUAAUACGAAGGGACCUAGCGUAGUUCGGAAUUACUGGGCUUAAAGAGUUCGUAGGUGGUUAAAAAAGUUGGUGGUGAAAUCCCAGAGCUUAACUCUGGAACUGCCAUCAAAACUUUUUAGCUAGAGUAUGAUAGAGGAAAGCAGAAUUUCUAGUGUAGAGGUGAAAUUCGUAGAUAUUAGAAAGAAUACCAAUUGCGAAGGCAGCUUUCUGGAUCAUUACUGACGCUGAGGAACGAAAGCAUGGGUAGCGAAGAGGAUUAGAUACCCUCGUAGUCCAUGCCGUAAACGAUGUGUGUUAGACGUUGGAAAUUUAUUUUCAGUGUCGCAGCGAAAGCGUUAAACACACCGCCUGGGGAGUACG